AGAGUUUGAUCAUAGCUCAGGAUGAACGCUAGCGACAGGCCUAACACAUGCAAGUCGAGGGGCAGCGGGGAGGUAGCAAUACCUUUGCCGGCGACCGGCGCACGGGUGAGUAACACGUAUGCAAUCCACCUGUAACAGGGGGGAUAACCCGGAGAAAUCCGGACUAAUACCCCAUAAUAUGGGCGAUCCGCAUGGAGAGUUCAUUAAAGAGAGCAAUUUUGGUUACAGACGAGCAUGCGCUCCA
RNAcentral lists this ribosomal RNA (244 nucleotides) under uncultured bacterium. RNAcentral describes it as "partial 16S ribosomal RNA". It matches the Rfam family "Bacterial small subunit ribosomal RNA", at positions 8 to 240 of the family's 1533-position model. The record is from RNAcentral.